GAGUUUGAUCCUGGCUCAGAACGAACGCUGGCGGCGUGCCUAACACAUGCAAGUCCAACGUGAAAGGGGAGCAAUCCCCCGGUAGGGUGGCAAACGGGUGAGUAAUACAUGGGUGAUCUACCUUAGGGAUGGGGAUAUCCUUCCGAAAGGAGGGGCAAUACCGAAUAUUGUCCGGAGCCGUGAAGGGUUCCGGGGAAAGGGAGGCCUCUGAUACAAGCUUUCGCCUUAAGAUGAGCCCAUGGCCCAUCAGCUAGUUGGUAGGGUAAAGGCCUACCAAGGCUACGACGGGUCGCUGGUCUGAGAGGACGACCAGCCACACUGGCACUGAGAUACGGGCCAGACUCCUACGGGAGGCAGCAGUGAGGAAUAUUGCGCAAUGGGGGAAACCCUGACGCAGCAACGCCGCGUGUGGGAAGAAGGCCUUCGGGUCGUAAACCACUUUUGCACGGGACGAAAAAGGGAUAUCGAACAAAUAUCCCCGAUGACGGUACCGUGAGAAUAAGCCACGGCUAACUCUGUGCCAGCAGCCGCGGUAAGACAGAGGUGGCAAGCGUUGUUCGGAAUUACUGGGCGUAAAGAGUCUGUAGGUGGUUUGUCAAGUCUUUGGUGAAAGGCCGUAGCUUAACUAUGGGAAUGCCAAAGAGACUGGCAGGUUGGAGGCUGGGAGAGGGAAGCGGAAUUUCUGGUGUAGCGGUGAAAUGCGUAGAUAUCAGAAGGAAGGCCGGUGGCGAAGGCGGCUUCCUGGAACAGUCCUGACA
This 758-nucleotide ribosomal RNA is filed under the name uncultured bacterium. Its description in RNAcentral is "bacterial SSU rRNA". It matches the Rfam family "Bacterial small subunit ribosomal RNA", at positions 9 to 745 of the family's 1533-position model. The record is from RNAcentral.